UAACGCGUGAGGAACCUGCCUUUCAGUGGGGGACAACAGUUGGAAACGACUGCUAAUACCGCAUGAUGCUUUUGGGAGACAUCUCCUGGAAGCCAAAGCUUUAUGUGCUGAAAGAUGGCCUCGCGUCUGAUUAGCUAGUUGGUGAGGUAACGGCUCACCAAGGCGACGAUCAGUAGCCGGUCUGAGAGGAUGAACGGCCACAUUGGGACUGAGAUACGGCCCAGACUCCUACGGGAGGCAGCGGUGGGGAAUAUUGGGCAAUGGGGGAAACCCUGACCCAGCAACGCCGCGUGAAGGAAGAAGGCCUUCGGGUUGUAAACUUCUUUUACCAGGGACGAAGGACGUGACGGUACCUGGAGAAAAAGCAACGGCUAACUACGUGCCAGCAGCCGCGGUAAUACGUAGGUUGCAAGCGUUGUCCGGAUUUACUGGGUGUAAAGGGCGUGUAGGCGGAGAUGCAAGUUGGGAGUGAAAUCCAUGGGCUCAACCCAUGAACUGCUCUCAAAACUGUAUCCCUUGAGUAUCGGAGAGGCAAGCGGAAUUCCUAGUGUAGCGGUGAAAUGCGUAGAUAUUAGGAGGAACACCAGUGGCGAAGGCGGCUUGCUGGACGACAACUGACGCUGAGGCGCGAAAGCGUGGGGAGCAAACAGGAUUAGAUACCCUGGUAGUCCACGCUGUAAACGAUGAAUACUAGGUGU
Molecule: ribosomal RNA, 698 nt
Filed under: uncultured bacterium
Lineage: Bacteria
Description: bacterial SSU rRNA
Rfam family: Bacterial small subunit ribosomal RNA
Source: RNAcentral